AGCGAACGCUGGCGGCAGGCUUAACACAUGCAAGUCGAGCGGGCACUUUCGGGUGUCAGCGGCGGACGGGUGAGUAACGCGUGGGAACGAGCCCUCUGGUUCGGAAUAACUCAGGGAAACUUGAGCUAAUACCGGAUACGCCCUUUUGGGGAAAGGCUUGCUGCCGGAGGAUCGGCCCGCGUCUGAUUAGCUAGUUGGUGAGGUAACGGCUCACCAAGGCGACGAUCAGUAGCUGGUCUGAGAGGAUGAUCAGCCACACUGGGACUGAGACACGGCCCAGACUCCUACGGGAGGCAGCAGUGGGGAAUAUUGGACAAUGGGCGCAAGCCUGAUCCAGCCAUGCCGCGUGAGUGAUGAAGGCCUUAGGGUUGUAAAGCUCUUUUAUCCGGGACGAUAAUGACGGUACCGGAGGAAUAAGCCCCGGCUAACUUCGUG
Molecule: ribosomal RNA, 435 nt
Filed under: uncultured bacterium
Lineage: Bacteria
Description: partial 16S ribosomal RNA
Rfam family: Bacterial small subunit ribosomal RNA
Source: RNAcentral